Molecule: long non-coding RNA, 460 nt
Filed under: Felis catus (domestic cat)
Lineage: Eukaryota; Metazoa; Chordata; Mammalia; Carnivora; Felidae
Description: lncRNA (ENSFCAG00000053754.1)
Source: RNAcentral
GUUCUGAAGUUUGACCCGCUAGGGCAAUUAGCAGAGAGAGAGGUGUCUACUUUCUCCUGUCACACCACUUCAAGGUUGGAAAGAUUUGUAAGACUCCAGGGCCUUCAAGCUGUGAUCAGUCAGACGGUUCCUGAAACGGCUGGGAAAGAGGUGCUUUGGUGCCCAUCGAAGAGCGCAUGUCUGUGCAUAUCUAAGCCCUUCUUUGUACACAUACACGUUUACACAGGAAGACAGGCUCACUCUGGCGCACACUUGAAGAGUUUUACAACUGAUGAAAAUUAAUGCAAGACUCAGAUGGAGCAACCUGACGCUGUGGGGCUCAGGAGCCCGGGGGGAGGAGGACACUACUAGUGGUCAGUUUUCCACGCGCUCUUCGCGGUUGAAGAAAGUUUGCAGAAAGAAGAAAAGGAAACUUGCUCAGCUCAAGCCUCAGAAGCACCUCCCCAGGUGGUUUUGGUGA